RNAcentral lists this unclassified non-coding RNA (286 nucleotides) under uncultured fungus. Its description in RNAcentral is "sequence contains ITS2". The stretch from base 1 to 52 matches the Rfam family "5.8S ribosomal RNA", at positions 103 to 154 of the family's 154-position model. The record is from RNAcentral. Lineage: Eukaryota; Fungi.
AACGCACCUUGCGCUCCUUGGUAUUCCGAGGAGCAUGCCUGUUUGAGUGUCAUUAAAUUCUCAACCCUACUGGCUUUGUUGUCUGGCUAGGGAUUGGACUUGGAGGUUCUGCUGGCGCGAGUCGGCUCCUCUCAAAUGCAUUAGCGAGAGCGCAAAGCUUUUGCGGACGGUGUGAUAAUUAUCUACGCCUUCAAGCCGCAGAGACGCACUUGCUUCUAACCGUCUUCGGACAAACUCAUUUCUUGACUUUGACCUCAGAUCAGGUAGGACUACCCGCUGAACUUAA